RNAcentral lists this small nuclear RNA (80 nucleotides) under Prolemur simus (greater bamboo lemur). The record is from RNAcentral. Lineage: Eukaryota; Metazoa; Chordata; Mammalia; Primates; Lemuridae.
CUUAUCUUCCUACUACAAAAUAAGAUAAAGCAAAAUUGGAACAACACAGAGAAGAUUAGGAUAGCCCCUGCACAAGGAUG